UCAAUUACUGCAACUGGACCGGUGUCACGUGCCGUGGUCGUGUCGUCAUCGGUUUAAAUCUCUCUGAUUUUGACUUAACCGGUUCAAUCUCUCCUUCGAUUGGCCGGUUUAGUAACCUAAUCCACCUCGAUCUAUCUUCCAACAGUCUCGUGGGUCCCAUCCCAACUGCUCUCUCCAACCUCUCCGCCUCCUUGGAAACUUUGCAUCUCUUCUCUAACCAACUCACCGGCGAGCUACCGAGUCAACUCGGCUCACUCGUGAACCUCAGGUCGUUAAAACUCGGAGACAACGACCUAAUCGGAUCAAUCCCGGAUACGUUCGGUAACCUCGUCAAUCUCCAGACGCUCGCAUUGGCCAAGUGUAGACUAUUAUUUAAUGUACAAUUAAUUAAAUAAGAGAUGAUUUAAAUAAAAAUCUAUUGGUUGCUAAAAAAGUAAAAAAAUAUUUAAUAUAUAAAAUUACAUUAAAAAUGUAGAAUGGUAUAUUUUGAAAUAAAAAAUAAGCUAGAAUGACAUUUUUAUGAAACAAAAGAGUAUAUAUAAAUAAAUGCCGAACAAUAUACAUGAAAAUCUAAGGGGUAAAUAUAGAAAAGCAACUUCUCAAAUUUCUCAUAAGAGGACUUCUCGAGUCAUAUGAAGCUAAACAGACUUCACAACAGAGUAAUGUUUUUGAAGAAGUACCCUUCAACCAAGUUAUCGUUCUGUCGUCUCAACCGCUCUCUUGCAUUGGCCAUGCUCAAAGCCAUAUCGUUCUUUCAUUAUAUAUAUAUACAAUAUAACUUAUUUAUUUCAUUGUCAUUAGUCUCCUUCCACAUUAUCAUUACUUACACAACUAAAAUUCUCAUGAAGCUGAAUUUUGUAGAUAAAUGGAAAUAAAUUGUGUUAAAGAUGGAUAAAUCGAAACACAACAGCAUAUUUUUUACGGCUCUUUUACUGUGUGUCACGCUAUCAUAUUCUAUAUGAACAAGAAUAAAAUACUAGUAGUAUUUUUCAAUUUUUUAUAAAUGGACACACAGUAAUUGAAAAACAAAGAUAAAUUUCAAAUUUUUAUUUUGCAAAAACAUUCAACAAAAAGUUUUCAGGAUUUUGAAACCAUUUGCAAUUUCAAUUCUACUAAUAAAAUCUAAAAUCAGCUAAUCCGAAACAUCUCAUCACUAUGAGCAUUUAUAGAAAGAACACAAAGAGACAAUGGCACAGUCGCAACAUAAAUGUAAGAAACUUGCAAUUGCAUUUUCCAACGCCUCUCAUCUGACCCUCGUUGACCUUCGUCUGCUCUUUCCCAUUGCUUCAUUCAUUUCCCUUUAAUUACACACACACACACACUGUCAAUAAUUAAUCAAAGCGAAACGACAGAAGAUAUAAAGAGACACCCGCGUGUCGUCAUUUUAAAAGGCUAUACUAUGUAGUUUUAGGCUUUUAGCCUUCUUUUAUAGCCGAUCCCAAAGCUUUAUCUGCAUUUACUUCUCUUGCAACUCACCACACAUCAAACAUUUGAGCGUGUUAUAUUCUAUAGAGAGAGAGAGAGAGAGUCGUCCCCCAUGCACCGUCCUUACGACCAAUCAUCUCUGUUUCAUCAACUUCAACCAAAAAAACCAACAAUUCUCUUAAACUCUCUAUUUUUCCCAACACUAGUCUCACUUCUACUAAUCACCAGUGGAAUCUUCUUUCACUUUCAUACACUUCUUGUUUCCCGAAGAAGAAGAAGUAAGAAGCAAUAACAAUGCAGCGACUCUCUCUUCUUGUUCUGUGUUUCCUCUGUUUUUCAGUCGGUUUGGGUUCGGGUCAACCGGGUCAAAGCAACGAUCUCCAAACUCUCCUCCAAGUGAAGAAGUCUCUUGUCACAAACCCAAAGGAGGAAAAGGUUCUCCGGAGUUGGAACUCCGAUGAUUCCAAUUUCUGCAACUGGACCGGCGUCACGUGCGGUGGUCGUGAAGUCAUCGGUUUAAAUCUCUCCGGUUUAAACUUAACCGGUUCAAUCUCUCCUUCUAUUGGCCGGUUUGAUAACCUAAUCGACCUCGAUCUAUCGUCCAACAGUCUCGUAGGUCCCAUCCCAGCUUCUCUCUCCAACCUCUCUUCUUCUUUGGAGACUCUGCAUCUCUUCUCUAACCUACUCGGCCGCGAGAUACCGAGUCAACUCGGUUCACUCGUGAAUCUCAAGUGGUUAAAAAUCGGAAACAACGACCUCGUCGGAUCAAUCCCGGAGACGUUAGGGAAUCUCGCCAAUCUCCAGACGCUCGGAUUAGCGGCGUGCAGACUCACCGGUCCGAUACCGAGUCAACUCGGUCGACUCGUUCAGAUGCAGUAUUUGUAUCUGCGACAUAACUACCUCGAAGGACCGAUUCCACCCGAGUUAGGAAACUGUACCAACCUUUCCCUAAAAAAUAACCAAUUUGAAUAUGACAUUUCACCCUUUUCAAACCAGAUGUUGAUAAACUUAUCCAUUUUAGAAUAUGAUAAACCAAACAUAAUUAUAUACAUAUCUAAAACACAAUGAAUUGUUGAAGAAUACAAUUUUUUUUGUUAAUCAAAAAGUUUUAACCUUCAUUUAAACUUAUAUCUCUAUAUCCUUUAAGCAAAAAAAAAAAACUCAGAAAUGGAUGCUUCUGCGUUUAUGUCAAAGAUGACAUCUGCAAAAUCUUUUAUUAAAUCGGGAAAAUAUCAAAGAGAAUCAUGUUAGAUCAAACCAAUAUGUUGCCGAGUGUGGUGGUGAUGACAAAAGUGGAUGGAAUCAUGAGAGAACCCCUUUGACUUAGCAAUUGAUUAUGUAGAUAAUUGAGUUUAGAUUUUAGGGUCAAACAUACAGUUUUAAAAACUCUUGGUUUAAAUUAUAGAGUUCAUAAAAAUAUGUACCAUAUAUUAUAUGGUUCUAAUUUUCUAUAAAAUUAGUUAUUUUCACAACCUCCUCCAACGCUCAAGAUAAAGAAAAUAUUUAUCACAUAAAUAAAAUAUAUAUUUAAAUUAAUAUAAAUAUUUAAAAUAAUAUAAUAAUAUUUUCAAAAUGAUGUAUAUGCCGACACUAUAUAAGAAUCUAUUCAUAGAAAUACAACUGCUCUCUUUUUCAUGCUAAGGGCUUGAGUAAAUGAGAAGCCAACACACUUCAAAACAAAAGCAGAAAUUGAAGAAGUACCCUUCAACCAUGUCACCGUUCUCUGAUCUCAACUACUCUCAUUCGGUAGCCAUGGUCAACCCCAUAUCAAUCCUUUUAUACUAUUUCAUGAUCAUUAAACUCAUUCAACUUAUUUACCUCAUUGUCACUAAUCUCAUUUUAAACCGUCAUUCAUUAUACACAACUAAAACUCUCAUCAAAUUGAAUACCGUGGAUCAAUUACGGUUAAGAUGAAUAAAUCUAAACACAAAUAGCAUUUAUAUAGCGAGACAUUGACACAGCCGCAACAUAAAUGUAAGACACUUGCAAUUGCAUAUUCCAAUGUCUCUCCUCUGACCAUCUUUGACCUUCGUCUUCUCUUUCCCAUUGCCUCAUUCAGCUUCCUUUACACAAACUCUCUCUCUCUCAAUAAUCAAGUGAAAUAACAGAAUAUAGAAAGAGAGAUUCGCGUGUUGUCAUUUAAAAGGAUAUAUCUAUAUAGAUUUAAACUUAUACCCCCAUCCCUAGCUUUAUCUGCAUUAACUUCUCCUCUAACUCACCACAUUAAACAUAUAUAUACACAAACAUAUGCUGAGAUUAUAUGUCAUAUAGAUGGAUAGAUAGAGAGAGAGAGGGAGAGUCCCCAUGCACCGUUCUUACGACCAAUCAUUCGUCUUCAACCAAAGGGACCAACAAUUGUCUUAAAUUCUCUAUGUUUCCAACACUAGUCUCACACUGAUCACGACAAGAAACUCAAGAUACUUCAUUCACUUUCAUACAUCUCUUGUUUCUGAAGAAGAAGAAGAAAGACGAAGGAAAAAAAAAUGCAGCAAAGUUCACUUCUUAUUGUGUUGCUCGUCCUCUGGUUUUCAAUCGGGCCGGGUUUGGGUCAACCGGUUCAAAGUGACGAUCUUCAAACUCUUCUCGAAGUGAAGAAGUCUAUUGUGAUAAACCCAGAAGACGAAAAGGUUCUCCAAAACUGGAAUUCAGAUGAUCUCAAUUACUGCAACUGGACCGGUGUCACGUGCCGUGGUCGUGUCGUCAUCGGUUUAAAUCUCUCUGAUUUUGACUUAACCGGUUCAAUCUCUCCUUCGAUUGGCCGGUUUAGUAACCUAAUCCACCUCGAUCUAUCUUCCAACAGUCUCGUGGGUCCCAUCCCAACUGCUCUCUCCAACCUCUCCGCCUCCUUGGAAACUUUGCAUCUCUUCUCUAACCAACUCACCGGCGAGCUACCGAGUCAACUCGGCUCACUCGUGAAUCUCAG
Molecule: long non-coding RNA, 4348 nt
Filed under: Brassica napus (rape)
Lineage: Eukaryota; Viridiplantae; Streptophyta; Magnoliopsida; Brassicales; Brassicaceae
Description: long non-coding RNA (BNAP_LNC001769)
Source: RNAcentral